RNA transcript from Melopsittacus undulatus (budgerigar), 4421 nucleotides. It is a transcript of the gene named protein arginine methyltransferase 7, with no coding region annotated. The record is from RefSeq and is a predicted model, not a curated record. NCBI's taxonomy places the organism in Eukaryota, Metazoa, Chordata, Aves, Psittaciformes, Psittaculidae. The transcript is spliced from 18 exons.
CGCUGCGCUUCCGCUUGACGCGCAGCACCGCGGACCCCUCCAUGACGCUCGGCUACAAGCAGUAGGUGUGGGCCCGCAGCUCCCUGCUCUCCGCGACCCUGCCCGCCGCGCGGUGCAUGCCGGGCAGGUGACGGUUGUCGUGGGAAGGCGGUCUGAGUGCGAGUAUUUUGGGUAUUCCACUGAAGCCAAAGUGGGAAAACUGCACAUAAUACAUAAAUAAUACAAAUUGAGAUUGAUCAUGAAGACCUUUUGUGGAAGAGCUAAUCCAACCACUGGUGCAAUGGAGUGGUUAGAAGAGGAUGAGAACUAUGACUACCAUCAGGAAAUUGCACGGUCACGCUAUGCAGAUAUGCUUCAUGAUAAAGACAGAAAUGAGAAAUAUUACCAAGGUAUUCGUGCUGCAGUGAACAGAGUAAAAGAAAGAGGUGAGAAAGCAAUUGUUCUGGAUAUAGGGACUGGCACAGGACUUCUGUCUAUGAUGGCAGCUUCAGCAGGUGCUGAUUUCUGCUAUGCAGUUGAGGUCUUCAAGCCCAUGGCUAAUGCUGCUGUGAAGAUAGUGGAGAAAAAUGGUUUUCGUGAUAAGAUCAAGGUAAUCAACAAGCACUCCACUGAAGUCACAGUUGGUCCAGAUGGAGAUAUGCAAUGUCGUGCAAACAUCCUGGUAACAGAGCUGUUUGAUACAGAGCUGAUUGGAGAAGGGGCUUUACCAACCUAUGAGCAUGCACACAAGUAUCUUGUACAGGAAGGAUGUGAGGCAGUGCCUCACAGGGCAACAGUGUAUGUCCAAUUGGUGGAAUCCAAAAGAAUGUGGGCCUGGAACAAACUGUUUCCUGUUCAUGUCGAAGCAGAGGAUGGUGAAAAAAUUAUUGUCUCCCCUUCAGAAAUGGAGAACUGUCCAGGUGUUCCUUCUGUUUGUGAUAUCCAACUGAACCAAAUGCCUUCAAAUGACUUCACUGUCCUUAGUGAUGUGUUAACAAUGUUCAGUGUGGAUUUCAGUAAGCCAGUAAGGAGUGCUUCUACCUACUAUAGAGUGCAGCUGGAGCCUGUAAAAUCUGGCAAGGCACAAAUUGUACUUUCGUGGUGGGAUAUUGACAUGGAUCCCUCUGGAAUGAUAAAUUGUACAAUGGCUCCAUACUGGGUAAAACCCACUUCCACUUUCCAGUGGCGAGAUCACUGGAUGCAAUGUGUGUAUUUUCUUCCCAAUGAGGAGCCAGUUCUCCAGGGUGAGAAGUUGUACCUGAUUGCCAGUCGUGAUGAGUACUCUUUGUGGUACAAGCUGCAGAAGGACAGAGGAGAAGAGAAGAACAAAGCAGAAGUUCUUGUUGAGAGUCCUGUUUGUAGAUGCCAGGCUCAUCUUCUUUGGAAUAGACCACGCUUUGGGCAAUUAAAUGAUAAGAACCGAACACUCCAAUAUAUCAAGUCUCUGAUGAAAGUUCUGAAAACUGAUAGUGUUUGCCUUUGUAUUAGUGAUGGCAGCCUGCUGCCUGUGCUGGCUCACUAUCUUGGAGCAAAGCAGGUAUUUACACUAGAAAACUCUGCUGUGUCCUGUUCUGUCAUGGAAAAAUUUUUUAAAGCAAAUCAUCUUGAUGAUAAAAUUAAGAUAAUAGAAGCACGUCCUGAGUUGCUGACAUCUUCUAAUUUGGAAAAUAAAAAGGUUUCUGUUCUUGUGGGAGAGCCAUUUUUUACUACAAGUCUGUUGCCAUGGCAUAACCUGUAUUUCUGGUAUGCCAGAACAGCUGUGACCGGUCACCUCACCAGCGAUGUCACUAUCCUACCUCAGUCUGCUUCUUUGCACAUGAUGAUUGUGGAGUUUCAGGACUUAUGGAGGAUCCGGAGUCCAUGUGGCACCUGUGAAGGUUUUGAUGUCCAGACUAUGGAUGAUAUGAUUAACGGAAUCCAAGGAAGCAGAACCUCACCCUUUGUGGGAAUAUCCUUGCAAGUCUCUCUCUGACCCCCAAGAAGUUUUGACAUUUGACUUCAGAAAGACUGUACCACAACACUGUCUCAGAACAAAGGGUUCUGUAAAUCUUUUACGGAAAGGAAAGAGCCAUGGAGCAGUUCUGUGGAUGGAAUAUUAUCUUGCUGCUGAUAUCUCCGUUAGUACAGGACUGGUGCAAAUUUCAAAUGAAAAGGGAAACUGUGAGUGGAAUCCCCACUGCAAGCAAGCUGUCUAUUUCUUCAGUUCUGUUAUUGAAUCAGAAACUCUGUCAGACCUUCCUAGUGCUGUCACGUAUGCUAUAAAUUUCGACACAAAGACAGGAGAGAUUGCCAUGGAUUUUAAGCUGUCAUAAAAUAGCUUAAAAUUUUAAUUACUUUCUUUUUAUUCAUGUUCCCAAAUUGUAAUAAACUUCUAUAGAAUUUUUUAUAUGGCAGAAGGAUUUUAUUUGUUGUGCUCAGAGAGCAAGCUGAUUGUUCUGAAAUACACUUUAAACCUUUUUGGGUUUGUUUGCAAGAUAGAUGGUGGGGGAAGUAGAAAGGAACUUUUUAGUAAAGAUGAGUACUCCUGACAAGAAUUCCUGACAGGGCUUAUAUACAUACAUACACAUACUUGUUACAUAUCCUUCAGUGUGAAACUGGUAUUUUGGGGUUUUGAACAACAUUAUGGAGCUACAAAAGAGUUGACUUCCUGUUUAUUGCAUGGCAUAUCAGUGCAUGAGAACACUGAACCUUAAACUAACAUUAAAGUGAGUUAAACACAUCUAUUUGUAGGCUUUGCUCUUGCCACUGUAAAAUGGGAAAUAAUCUUCAGAGUGCACAGAAAGAAAUCCCAGGUCAAGCUACAUAUGUGUAUUAGUGCAGUUAAUAGGGAGAGGGAAACAGUUUAGCUGCUCGCAGACUUGUGUCAGUUAUGGCUAGUAUUAAACAGGUCAGUGAAUUAAAGUAUGAUGCACGAACAUUCUUGUGGAGUCUGAGAUACUGCAUUUCUGAAGAGACAUUUGCCAAACAGUGACCCAAGUCAGGAAAGGUGUAACUAGAAAUUAAAAAAUUUACAAAUUCAGGUUAAUUGGAAUUUACAAACUGAUAGUAUUAUGGCCAGAAACAAAAGAAAAAGCCAUAGUGUACAAAAACACACAAAUUUUAGGAGAUACGUAAUAUGCAUUAUCUGGUCAAAAAUGUGGACUUAUAUUUGUUCCACUAGAGGUCUAAAUAAUACCUGUUCAGCUGAGUUGUAUGUUGCACAUAUCUGCAGCUGAGUUUUACUUAGUUGUAUUCCAGAUCAUGUUGAGAGAAGUUGUAAUGUGUGACAAUGUGUGUGCAAUUAAUUCUGCUUUAGAUGAACAAUCAAUUGGUGGAUCUGUUUUGUAUGUGUGACCUAUUAAGAGAAAUAGAAAAUCAUUGUAUCGGCUGUCCUAAAUUAUGUCAGCCAGCCAUAGGCAUAGCUCUGCUUACCAAAGUUACUCCUGUUUCCUAUGACCAGCAACUUCAGCAAAGUGAGAGGAAUUCCACAAAGAAGCCAUGAGGGAGCAGGAGCUUACUCUGGUAGCUCAGGAGCUUUCCUCGUCACCAUGGUAAAUAAUUCUGGUGAGUAGGAAUUUUUCCUUUUUCUCUUCCUAAGUGUGUGAUCGCAUUUACAGACCUGGAAGCCAUCUGAAAUAUUCCUAAAUUUCUGAGAACUGUUUUUCUGAUGAAGGUCUUCACACUUAAUAGAUGUAAGGAAGCAAUUAAAUACAUGACUAAUAUUUUUCACUGGAACAGGAACCCUGCAGCUCCUGUUGAGAUCUGUGGAUUUCACUUUUCAAAACUGUACUUUUAAGAUGCUUAACAUCAGACUCUUGUUUCUUACAAACUUUGCUGGAAUGUGUAGGUUACUGUUCAUUAAACAAUUGUUUCUAAUUUUGCUACCUGCACCGAGUCCACAGAAUGUAUAGUGGCACCCACCUGUUUGUUGUAUGUUGGGAACAUAAGCUGUGCAGUUGUAAAGGGAACAAUAAUAUGGCCAAGGCAUUUAAAGGGAAAAGGCUUUUUAAAUUUAAUUUAUAAAUUAAAAAAAAAAAGGCAGACAGUUGUGCAAGUGUGAAUAUUGUAAGGCUUGCACUGUAUAAAUUGUCUUUGGGAAGAGAUCAGAGCAGAAAAACCACAGGUGCUGCCUUCUGUGUUUGCUCGUGGUCUGACACAGAAGGCAUGAGCUGCUGUUUUUGUUCGGCAGUAUUCAGAAGCUAUUUUUCAGGAAUAGCUUCUGAAGGUGCGUUGCAUAUGACUACAGAUGAUUCUGGACCUAACAGAAGCAUACAGUGUUCAAAAGGUAACACAGAACUAAUAGACAUCAAUAUAUUAGAAUUAUGGUGUUUGAAAAAUAACAAAACCACAACUGCAUUUACAGUAUUUUAAUGUCUACUGGUAACUUUCUUAAAGAUUACUCUGUAUGUAUGGUCUGAAUUGUGCUUCCUAGUUAAAAAUAAAACAAUUUGCUAAAAUGACAA